UGCGGCAGCUCUGGGAACUGACAGGAGAUGUUCUGGUAGGUUUUGAAGUCCAUAUUUCAGCAGUCCAAAUCCCUUCUCCCAUCCGCCUCCUAUUUCCCCACCCACUCACCCCAAACAGAAAGCGGGAAGAGCCUGCUAUUCCACCCCUUCUCCCAUCCGCCUCCUAUUCCCCCACCCACUCACCCCAAACAGAAAGUGGGUAGAGCCUGCUAUUCCAUUACUCCAACAGACUUAUUUUUCGUGCAUCCAAGUGGCAGGCUUUUUCAUCAAGCUUCAACAGUUAGUCGAUUCAUUAUGUUUGUGUUAUCUGAAGUUUCUGAUGGUUUAGGGAAGUUCUUUUGAUCUUCAAGUACUAUAUUAUAUGCUUUUCUUCAAAGUUUUCACAUACUAUUGAUGUUGCUAGUUCUCAAUUCGCCAGUAUCUGAAACUGAUAACUUG
RNAcentral lists this long non-coding RNA (438 nucleotides) under Nicotiana benthamiana. Its description in RNAcentral is "long non-coding RNA (NBEN_LNC007443)". The record is from RNAcentral. Lineage: Eukaryota; Viridiplantae; Streptophyta; Magnoliopsida; Solanales; Solanaceae.